UUAUUAGGUUGGUGCAAAAGUUAUUGCGUUUUUUUCAAUUACUUUCAAUGGCAAAAACCACAAUUACUUUUGCACCAACCUAUAUAU
RNAcentral lists this microRNA precursor (87 nucleotides) under Chlorocebus sabaeus (green monkey). RNAcentral's name for it is "miRNA (ENSCSAG00000023326.1)". Lineage: Eukaryota; Metazoa; Chordata; Mammalia; Primates; Cercopithecidae. The record is from RNAcentral.